UUGCAGUUUCCCCUUUGCAGGGAAUUAAAAGGGAACCGUGUGUGAAUCACGGGCUGUCCGCGCAACUGUAAGCACCCCGAAAAGUCGUCUUGACAAAUCCACUGUUCUGUCCGCAGGAUGGGAAGGAGAGGACGACCGGUGCAAGCCAGGAGACCUGCUGUGAUGGA
Molecule: non-coding RNA, 167 nt
Filed under: uncultured Alistipes sp.
Lineage: Bacteria; Pseudomonadati; Bacteroidota; Bacteroidia; Bacteroidales; Rikenellaceae
Source: RNAcentral